GUCUUUAAGUAAUAAUUUAAAGUCCAGCCUGCUCAAUUCCAAAGUAAAUAGCCGCAGUUCCACUGUGCUAAGGUAGCAUAAUAAUUAGCCUCAUAAUUAGAGGAUAGAAUGAAUGGCUAGACGAGGUGUUAACUGUCUCAUAAACUCAAAACGAAACUCAAAUAUCAGUAAAAAUGCUGAUAUAAAAAGGCAGGACGACAAGACCCUGAACAAACUUAUCAUUCAGCUGGGGCGGCUAAACAAAAAAACCUUGAUUAAAAAUUACAAUAAAAUAGCUAGUCAAACUAACUAAAAGUUACUGCAGGGAUAACAGCGCAAUUUCUUCCAAAAGCUCCAAUUCAAGAAGAAGAUUACGACCUCGAUGUUGAAUUAAUUUCCUAAUACUGUGCAAAAGCAAAUAUAAGGUGGUCUGUUCGACCAUUAAAUAAUU
This 430-nucleotide ribosomal RNA is filed under the name Artema doriae. RNAcentral describes it as "partial 16S ribosomal RNA". It matches the Rfam family "Bacterial large subunit ribosomal RNA", at positions 1829 to 2597 of the family's 2925-position model. Lineage: Eukaryota; Metazoa; Arthropoda; Arachnida; Araneae; Pholcidae. The record is from RNAcentral.